RNAcentral lists this long non-coding RNA (13671 nucleotides) under Homo sapiens (human). RNAcentral describes it as "non-protein coding lnc-MAP2-1:2". Lineage: Eukaryota; Metazoa; Chordata; Mammalia; Primates; Hominidae. The record is from RNAcentral.
ACUGACUCUUUUCGGACUCAGCCCACCUGCACGCAGGUGAUUAAAAGCUUUAUUGCUCACACAAAGCCUGUUUGGUGGUCUCUUCACACGGACGCGCAUAAAAUUUGGUGCCGUGACUCGGAUCGGGGGACCUCCCUUGGGAGAUCAAUCCCCUGUCCUCCUGCUCUUUGCUCCGUGAGAAAGAUCCACCUACGACCUCAGGUCCUCGGACCGAUCAGCUCAAGAAACAUCUCACCAAUUUCAAAUCCGGUAAGUGGCCUCUUUUUACUCUCUUCUCCAACCUCCCUCACUAUCCCUCAACCUCUUUCUCCUUUCAGUCUUGGUGCCACACUUCAGUCUCUCCCUUCUCUUAAUUUCAAUUCCUUUCAUUUUCUGGUAGAGACAAAAGGGACAUGUUUUAUCCAUGAACCCAAAACUCCGGCACCGGUCACGGACUGGGAAGGCAGCCUUCCCUUGGUGUUUAAUCAUUGCAGGGACGCCUCUCUGAUUAUACACUCACGUUUCAAGGGUGUCAGACCAUGCAGGGAUGCCUGCCUUGGUCCUUCACCCUUAGCGGCAAGUCCCGCUUUCCUGGGACAGGGGCAAGUACCCCUCAACCCCUUCUCCUUCACCCUUAGUGGCAAGUCCCGCUUUCCUAGGGGGCAAGAACCCCCCAAUCGCUUAUUUCCGCACCCCAACCUCUUAUCUCUGUGCCACAAUCCCUUAUUUCCAUGUCCCAACCCUUUCUCUGCUUUUCUGGAGGGGAAGAAACCCCCACCCCUUCUCCGUGUCUCUACUCUUUUCUCUGGGCUUGCCUCCUUCACUAUGGGCAGGCUUCCACCUUCCAUUCCUCUUUCUUCUCCCUUAGCCUGUAUUCUUAAGAACUUAAAACCUCUUCAAUUCUCACCUGACCUAAAAUCUAAGCAUCUUAUUUUCUUCUGCAAUGCCACUUGACCCCAAUACAAACUCAACAGUAGUUCCAAAUAGCCAGAAAACGGCACUUUCAAUUUUUCCAUCCUACAAGAUCUAAAUAAUUCUUGUCGUAAAAUGGGCAAAUGGUCUGAGGUGCCUGACGUCCAGGCAUUCUUUUACACAUCAGUCCCUUCCUAGUCUCUGUGCCCAGUGCAACUCGUCCCAAAUCUUCCUUCUUUCCCUCCCGCCUGUCCCUUCAGUACCAACCCCAAGUGUCAUUGAGUCUUUCUAAUCUUCCUUUUCUACAGACCCAUCUGACCUCUCCCCUCCUCAACAGGCCGAGCUAGGUCCCAAUUCUUCCUCAGCCUCCGCUCCUCCACCCUAUAAUCUUUUAAUCGCCUCCCCUCCUCACACCUGCUCCGGCUUACAGUUUCGUUCCGUGACUAGGCCUCCCCCUCCUGACCAGCAAUUUACUCUUAAAAAGGUGGCUGGAGCUAAAGGCAUAGUCAAGGUUAAUGCUCCUUUUUCUUUAUCCCAAAUCAGAUGGCGUUUAGGGUCUUUUUCAUCAAAUAUAAAAAUCCAGCCCAGUUCAUGACUUGUUUGGCAGCAACCCUGAGACACUUUACAGCCCUAGACCCUAAAAGGUCAAAAGGCCGUCUUAUUCUCAAUAUACAUUUUAUUACCCAAUCUGCUCCCGACAUUAAAUAAAACUCCAAAAACUGAAAUCUGGCCCUCAAACCCCACAACAGGACUUAAUUAACCUCACCUUCAAGGUGUGCAAUAACAGAAAAAAGUUGCAAUUCCUUGCCUCCACUGUGAGACAAACCCCAGCUACAUCUCCAGCACACAAGACUUCCAAAUGCCUGAACCGCAGCAGCCAAGUGUUCCUCCAGAACCUCCUCCCCCAGGAACUUGCUACACAUGCCGGAAAUCUGGCCACUGGGCCAAGGAAUGCCCGCAGCCCGGGAUUCCUCCUAAGCCGCGUCCCAUCUGUGUGGGACCCCACUGAAAAUCGGACUAUUCAACUCACCUGGCAGCCACUCCCAGAGCUGCUGGAACUCUGGCCCAAGGCUCUCUGACUGACUCCUUCUUGGCUUACCGGCUGAAGACUGACACUGCCCGAUCACCUCGGAAGCGCCCUAGACCAUCAUGGACGGCAAGCUUUGGGUAACUCUCACAGUGGAAGCUUGAAGGGGAAAAAGAAUCCUGUGUACUGCUCUAGCUGUGACCAAGCCAAUUAUGCUAACAUCAGCAUCCAACGAUCACAGCAGGAAACAUACUGUCUUCUUUACAUGCAUGGGCUGACUGAAUUCUUACAAAAUCUCCAUGAGAAAGAGAAAAUUAGGGCACAAACACACAUAGAAGAAAGACCAUGUGAAGACAGGAAGAUGGCCACCUACAGCCAGGAAAAGAGGCUUCAGAAAAUGUCAACUCUGCUGGCAUCUUGAUCUCAGACUUAUAACCUCCGUGAGAAAAUAAAUUUAUGUUGUUUAAGCCACCCAGUCUAUGGUACUUUGUUACGGCAGCAUUGGCAAACUAAUUCACUGGUGAUUUUAACAAAAGGAACGUCGGUAAAGUGAUGGAAGCAGAAAACAGAUUUGAGUGAGAAGAAGAACUGAUAGGAAUCAGAAAAUAAGGAAAGCAAGUACCUAGAUCUUUCUAGUCAUAUUUAUCCUAUGAAUAACCCAAAUAAUAGUCUAUUUCUUGGUUUUAACUUUAAGAAGCUUAUAUGUAGCAUUGAAUUAUCUCUUACACAUUCAAAAACCCGAUCUAAAAUUUGAAAACUAAAUAUGCUAUGUACAGAUUCCUAUGAAAGAUAAAAAGUAUUUAAUUUUGAUUUUGGAAAAUAUUUUAUAUGCAUGGAUAUUUGAAUGUGUGCAUCUUUACUAGCAAAUAUUUAAUAUUUCCUUAAGAUACUCUAAUUUGAGAUAAGUGACAUUCAGAUUGGGGCUAGGAUGAAGUUCUUUUCAUUUCCUACAAGGAAUAUUAUAGUAGAUUAUAACUAAAUUUAGACAUUAUAUUUUCUAAAUCAAACGUAGGCAUACGUUUUUUAUCACCUUGCCUGAUAACAGGACAUACAGUGGAAAUUAGAAUGAUUCCCAAACAUCUGUGCCAUGUGGUUACUGCUGUUACUUAGGGAGUUAUGAAGAUCUAUGAAUAGGAGAAGGCAAGAAGGAAGUAAAACAUCUUAUCCAAUGUAAGGGCUAUUAUAAUCAAGGGAUAAUUCUUUUAUAAAUAGAAUAUGACACUAUCACACAAAGUCAAGACCAAGAUGUCAGACAAAUGUAAGGACACAGGCAAGUUCAGCCCACACCAGGGAAGCAACAGGAAUGAUAUGUGUACUAGGCUUAUGCAUAUGACUUCCCAGCCAACCAGAAGGGGAUUCAGUAAGCUGACAGCCAAUUGUAUAGUUUAAGUUAAAAUUUCUGUUUCAAGCCUUGUAGAAAUGAAUGUGGUUUGAAUCACACAAACAUUUUUUAAGACUUGGGACACGCAUCUCAAGAUCUGGCAUAUGUGCAAGUAGUCCAUGUGUUUCAAUUCCAGAGAAGAUAGCUAGUCCCUUCCUGGGCUUUAGCCAGUUUCCUGGAAGCGUGAAAGAGCUGGUUGAUGGUGAGGGCCACAAGACUAACACAGCUUCCUAAAGGUCUCAGCAGUGACAGGAGAGGGCUGGGAUGUUGAGACUAGGUAAGCAAAGAGUAAUGUGUGAGUCCAAAGUUAGCAUUCCCCAGAAGCCAACUCCCAUACACUUCAUAAAUGCAGGAGAAUGACAGAAGAAUUUGGAAGAAUCAUAAUUAGGAGUCUAAAUUCCCUGUAAAUUUAAAACUUAUCCUCAAAAUUUUAUGGCAAAUAGGAAAAUGGAAGAGUAAUUGUAAAAGGUAAUUAAUUGGAGUACAUAUUUCUUCUAGAGCUAUGACUUACUGUUAGCAAGACUUUCAUGUCAGUUUCAUAAAAGUGAUCAUGACAGGUGGCUAGCUCCAUCAGUGAGUUCAUAAAGAUUUAACCAAGUUUUAAACAAAAAUAGAGUAAACCAAUUUAUUUUAAGAAGUGAUUUUAUUUCUGGCCAGGUGUGGUGGCUCACGCCUGUAAUCCCAGCCCUCUGGGAGACUGAGGCAGGUGGAUCACCUGAGGUCAGGAGUUUGAGACCAGCCUGGCCAACAUGGUGAAACACUGUCUCUACUAAAAACACAAAAAUUAGCAGGGUGUGGUGGCUGGUACCUGUAAUCCUAGCUACUUGGGAGGCUGAGGCAAGAGAAUCACUUGAACCUGGGGGGCAGAGGUUGCAGUGAGCCAAGAUCAUGCCAGUUCACUCCAGCCUGGGCAACAGAGCAAGACUCCAUCAAAAAAAAAAAAAAAGAAAAGAAAAGAAAAGAAAGAAAGAAAGAAAAAAGAGUGAUUUUAUUUCUAGUAGGCUAUUUCUAAUAGGCUAGUAUUUUGUAAGCUUUAAGCAGACACCAGCUCAAUAUAAUAUUGAAAAAAAAAAACCCCACAUAUAACCUUGGUCCUUUCAGUAAGCUGAGCACCCAAAAUGGCAUCUUAUAGUUUCUCAUAAAUUGCAGUUCAACAAUGUUGAAUAUGAUAAAGUGGUUAUCAAAAGUUAGAGCCAUUUUUUAAAAAGUUCCCAGAUACCUGGGUAGCUAAGGUUAUUUAAUAAAUUGUUAUGAUGUAAUGCUACUAAAUCUCCUAAGAUUAAAUUUAAGGUUUUUUUAAUGAGUGCUCAGGUUUAAAAUAACUUUGUAUUUUUCUCUGAUGUUAAAUUUUUGAUUUGUGCCUUUAGAAUCUGUAACUGUCACUCCUUUUCAUAUGAUAAAAUUAUUUGAUAGAACAAGAAAAUAAAUCCCAAAAUUAUAAAAUCAGCACCACUAUUUCUUUGAAAUUUUAGCUGCUAAAGGAUUCAUGUCAUUCUCAAACACAAUGAUAAAGAAAUCAGCAAUUUUCAAAAAUCAUGUGACUUAAAUCCUUUUUGUUACACUCAUUUCUCUCAUUUAAGUUUCUGAGAGAACUAUUGAUUUGUUCUUUUUCUCUGAAAAGAUUAAACACCUGGAUUUUAUCAUGUACUCACAUUUGAAAUUCAAAUCAUUUGUAUAUAAUGCAUUAAAUUAUUUGAAAAGUCAAAUAUCACAGAUUAGUGUGAGAUGAUAGCAUACUCUGUAUGCUAUGAUAUAAAGUGGUUCAGAAGCAUGUAAUAAGUUCCUGAAAUGUCUGUUCCCACUGUAUGUAAAAUGGCUCACUUUUCAGCAAGAUCGGUGAUUCCUUAUAUAAAUCUGUUAGCAGCUUUUUGAUUAUAAGAGGAUGGACAGUUCUUUCUCAUGAGUUAGUUUGCAAAUAUUAGUUUUCCUUUUAAAAAGUCCGAACAGAGAACCAAUAAGCUUCUUUAACUUUUACAACUGCCUAAUACAAUUUAAAUUACAUUUAUUAACUUAGUUCUGCAGGUUUGGAAAGUAUUUGCACUUGGCAUAUCCUAUCACUCCAUCUCCUGUCAGCUAAUGUCCUCAGUAGUCUAUUUCCAGUUACAUGUGUGGAGAUACAAGAUUGGUGCAAUAUAUUUUUACCCUUUUUAAUUCUUGUAGUUGCAUGCUGAAAUUAUUUAAUGUGGGAUUAGUUGAAUGGUGUCUGUCAUAGAAAGGGAUUGUUGUAGAAAAUUUGUUGUCUUUUACCACCUUUAGUUCACUGCUUUUUAAUGGCAUAUAACACUCAAAUUUUCCUUAGAAAGGAGUAAUAAAUAAUUUCUGUCAGUCAAAAUAAUUUAAACUGCUGAGAGGAGUAGAAGGUAACAAGAUUUUGGCAAAGCAUAAAAACCAUGAAGAAUCAAGCGAAAAGAAGAAAUUCCCAAGAUAUGUAGUUUAAAAUGUCUAUAAAGAGAUAGGUAAGUGAGGAAAUGGUACUACUGCUUAUUGUGGAUUUGGAAAUUAUUUUAAAGACAACAUAAUUUUCAUGCAUUCAAAGAUAGUAUUUUGAUUGCAUUACAUAGCUCAGUUCAUGGGGAAAAUCUCGUACCUGUAAUGUUUUCAAGGUAAUUCGAAAAAUUGUUAAGUAUAUGUGAGAAAUUUGUGUGCUCAAAUAACAAAGGCAUAUUUUUAUUUUUAUGUCAACUUAAUAUCAAACUAGGAGUAAAUAUAUUUAGCAAUACAUAUGCUUGACAAAAGAUUUUUAACUAAGAUGUUUAUUUUCUCAAUAUUAAGUGUAAAAGAAGGGAUAAACUAGAUUCCUGUUUUUCAAUCUCUGUGAUUGUCUUUUAACUCUACAGAUGUAUUUGGAGCAUCAGAAAAGUUCACAACAUUACAUUAGAAUGAGUCAUACUCUCUGUUCUCAAAGAGUUCACCAUCUAAUGGAAAGACAGUUACCAAACAAUAAAAUAGCUAACAAUAAGGGAAGCAGAGCAGCAAAGUUUUAUGUCUAUGUAGGGCUGUCAGAGAAGGAUUCACAAAAAAAUAGUUACGCUACUUCUUGUGAGAAAAGAAGACUUACAUUAUCAAGGUAUUGAGGUAUAGCUCGGAGUAUGUGUUCCUGCAAAGGGAACAAACUGUAAAAUGAAUUAAGUAUAAGAGAAUGAAGCAUUCACAUGUUGUUUCAAUGUUUUCUGUUUAGAAUAACCCAAUUUACCAUGGUUUUUUAUCUCUUGUUUUCAUCUAGUCCAACUUAGUUGCUUUAUUACUCCAAUAAAUUAACACUGGAUUAUUAUAGGACAAUAAAUGAAUUAAUGGCAGUCAGAUUGGUUUGAAGAGACUGAGGACAGUGAGGAAUCCUAAAGACCAGAAAUAAUAAAAUUUCAAUGUGAUGAGAGGCUUAUAAUUAAGAAUCUGUAUGUGUCUUCAAAAAUAAUUAGGUCUCAAAUUGUGGCAUCUAAAAAGUUACCUUGCAAACACUACUUCAACAUUGUGAUCUCGCUAUUAUUAUAUCUUAGAAUUUGAUUUUGUGAAACACUACUUCAACAUUGUGGUCUUGCUCUUAUUAUAUCUUAGAAUUUGAUUUCGUGUCUAUGUGCUGAAACCACUUCAUGGUACUAAGUUAGGUAUGUGCUAAUAGUUCUUGAGAUCAUGAGGAUACUAUUUCUCAGCAGAUAAUGCACUGAAGUGUUCAUUUUCAAAAUAAAUAUACUUAAGGUGCAAUAGUGCACAUUAUGAGUUUCAGAUUGUUAUAUUACCAUUAAAAUAAAUUCUAAGAAUAUACCUGCUUGGAAAAUUCUAAUUAGUGUGAUUACUAUGGAACUGGAAAUAAUUAUUUUAAAACUCGUAAGAGCGUAUUUUGAAAAAUAAUCAGCAGUAGAAUAAGAAACUGCCAGAUGAGUCACUAGUCUAAAAAGGUAAAAUAUUUUUCCUUUGAAUUCUGCUAAAUAUAUUACUUCUCAGAUUCAAGGAUAGUGCAUUGAAAAUUACUUUGUAGAAUUUUUCUACGAAAAAUAUGAUAUGGGAAAGUCCUGUUCAGCAGGAGAAAAAAACAAGAAAAAGAAAUUAGGAAAUACGGACACAUGAACCAAAGGAAUUGAUUUGAAAUUUACUUAUAAUUCACAUUAGCCCUAAGCUUCAGUCUGGGAGUUAUGACUAAUAAUAAAAAAUAAAGAAAUAAUUAUUUUGUGAUCCAUUAUUUUAAAACCAGUAAAUACUAACAAAUUAUUUAUAUACUUGCAUAUAUUAGUCAACUGUUCUCACAAUAAUAUGCAUAUCAAACAACUCUAAAACUCAGUAGUGUCCAAUAGGAAGCAAUUACUUAUUAUUCAUCUGACUCAAGAUCUGCUGAGGCUCAGCUGACUUCAGAUAAGCUCAAGAAGGCUCGUAUUUAAACUGUGGAAUAUGUUUGGUUUGCUCCAUGGGCCUCUCAUUCGUCUGAGAUCCAUAGGCUACCCAGAAUAUGUUCUUUUCUUGGCAGUGACAUUAAUAGAAGAGAGAAAACCAAGCCAUAUGACUAACUACUCUUCAACACUCUGCUUGUUUCAGACCCACUAACAGCCCAUGGGCCAAAACAAGUCUUGUGGCCACACUCUGCAAUAAUUGAAUGGAAAAGGGUAUUCUGUUCACCAUGAAGCUAUCGCAAGGGUGGGGAUGCAAAAUCUGGCUACUAAGAAAUAACAAAUGAAGACUGAUAAGUAAAUCUGCCACAACUUUAAUAUUUGUUUAUAAAAAGAAAAGUUUGCAUGUAUUUUUCUGAAAAUUUGGAUUUUAAAAAGUGUUUCUAAGAAUUAAUACAUGUGGAUAGUAGUAAGUACCCAAAACUAAGAACAGAAAUGCUUAGAGAUAAAUAAAUGCUUACAUAUGCAUGCAUACAUGUAUACAGGCCAGUCAGAAGGAAGAAGAGAAAAAAUAAGCAAACUCAUUGAGGAAGUACAGGAAAGAAAGCACAGAGGAGAAAUUGGGAAAACCUGUGCUGAGAGAUGUCUCUGGUCCUGCCAGUUUCCAGGUACAGCUCCAUUAUCCAUGCACCAUUACUGGUUUUGAUAUACAAGUCCUGCAAUUUUAACACCUACGAAAGAAACUUACAUUUUUAUCUUCAUGCAUACAAUACACAAUGUGCAUAAGUGAAGCAUUUUAUCUCAAAUGUAAAUGUAUACAGAAUGCUGUGUUCCUCAGAUCUAUCCUUAUGUUUCAGUGUUAUCUAUUAAGAGGAAAAAAGAAACAAGAGUUAAAAUUGAAAUAACUUAAAUCUUUCAACUUCCCUCUGACUUUAAGGAGAAAAGAAUUUCUUCAUUGCCAUUUCUAUUCCCACCUUCCAAUUAUUCAAACCAAGUUGCAUUCAGAGAAUAGCACUGAUUGCUGUUUAGCAUUCUAUUUAGUAAUGGGUAUGUUAUUCUCUGGAUUAUCUGUUUGCUAUUAUCUAGUUCUAGAUAUAGAGAAGGAAAUAGAGCAAAAAUCUGGACCCUUUGUAUCACAGAUCUAUGAGUUUGAAAAGAGACUCUGGAUUGUCCAGUUCACAAUGGAUCCGGCAAGCCUGCGCAGACUGAUAGUGGAUGAGUUUAACAUUGUUUUCUUUUGUGCCACAAGACACACUACACACUGGUGGUUAAGAACACACACUUUGAAGCCUCACUAGGUUCAAAUUGCAGUGUCUUGCUUACUGGCCUUAGCAAGAAAUUUUGCAAAAGGGGAUGACUUCUAAAACAGGGUAUAUUCCGCCUAUCCUUUAAAUGAUUAUGUCUGUAAAAUACUUAGAACACUUUUCUAUUAUUUCUAUAAUUUUGGAAAACAUUCUUUCAGAGUCUCCAGAACAUCACACUUUAAUCCCCUCCAUCCCACAGAUUGUGAGUUCUUUGGGUAAUGAUUCCUUUCCCUCCCUCCCUGUGGUCACAGGGAAAGAGUUGGUUGAACUAUGAUCUUAGGGAGGAAUAAGGAGAAGCUAGGAGGAGAUACUAAAGUUGUUGCAAUUUUAAAGUAACUUAAGUAUCAGUGAAUGUCUUUAUCUCCAAGUCAGUAUUGCCCUGAAAAGUCACACUCGCAACAUGGAAGAUGACACUGGGCAACUUGUCUCUUGAGAUUCCAUGGCAGUUUCUAAGUAUUCCUUGCUGUUACUGUAGGACUUUAAGGGCACAGUCACACAGGGAAUGUGUUCUGGAUAGUUUUAUCAACUUUAGAACUGAUGAAGAGUUAAUUUGAGGGUGAAUCCUGAUUGACUUAACCACUCAUUGUUUUGCAUAAAUACUAUCACUUGUGAGGUAGACUGAAACACUUGACAUAUUUAAUGCAAACAAAUUCUGAAACUGAUUGUUCUUUGUUUUUCUAUGUUCCUUAAGCAAACCAGCCUAGUGACUCUAUUUCAACAGUUGCUACUUCUUUUGAAAAAGUAUCUACUUUCCAAUUAUCCGCUAAUAUGUAACUAUCUUUCAGAGAUAGUGACCAUGUGACAUUUCAAAUCACAAUGCCUAAUGCAGAUAAUUCCAGUAACUUUCAAAGUUUUUUUCUAUGGAUAAAAAUAAAAGAAUAAGAAUAGAAAAAAUAUAUACACAUACAUGUAUACCUCGUCUUGCUAACUAGUUUAUUUAGUUGAUGAGAGACAUAGUAUCAGAUGAUAUUAUUACCUAUAAUUUAAUGAAGAAGUAGUUUCAUUUUAUGCUAUAACUUCCUUCAGAUAGGAGAUUAUUACAAUGCUGUUUUCUGAAGAAAAGGAAAUUUUUCAACAUAGAAAGCCUGGACCAAAGUAUUACAAUGUACCAUGCCACUCCUGUAUAAUGAUCCAUUGACUAUCAUCCGUUCUGUCACAUGGAACUAUAAAGACUUUACAGUUCUAUAGGCAAGAGCAUAAAUCUCACCUUUCUUAAAUGUCCUUGUCUAGAAUUAGACUUUUUCUAAAAUACCUAGCUUUUAUCCUACAGUAUUUGCUUCAUAUUUACCAAAGAAGAAAUAUGAAAACUAAAAGCAAAAAGCAAAACACUCAAAGAGAAAAAUGAAUUUUAAAAUAUAUUCACUGAGUACAUGUAGAAUAUUGAUAAUAUCUUCAUUUCACAGCACAAAUGAACAAGUGUUGUCUUUAAAUGAAUGGCAUUGGUCCAAAAAUCUGAAUAUCUAUUGUCUUUUCUAAUCUUUGCAAAAAUCCAAACAAAACACAUUUAUCACUGACUCUGUAAUAGCAGUUUAAAGAUGAAAAUAAGCAUAUGAAUGAUACACAGAAGUUCAGAUGAGACUUAUUGUAGUAGCAUUUCCUAUAAAUCAGGGAUUAUGCACUGUUUUUACUUUAUCCUCAGAAUAAUUACAGUUGCUCAAGUACUAUUAAAGAUAUACAAUGGGAUUUCAGAAACCACAAAGAACACAAGUGCAGAUUAUUUUUAAAGACAAAGUUAAUUUAUCUAUUGUUUUUAAGGAUAGAACAUUACAGUACACAUUAGAAAACACCUUCCCAAAUUGUCUUGCCAAAUAUAUGAGAAAAACUUUUGCAAUAGUUCAAUAUUUUAUCUCAAUGUGAUAUUGCCCUGUUCUCAAUGAUGGCUUCAGAAAAUAAAAAAUACCAGCUGGUAAGUAUUUAUGUCCUUUGUACAGCCUCUCUUGGUUAUCUCACUCCUAUUUAUUCAAUAAUAAAAUCGAAGUUAAAUGGACAAGAUUCGUAUUCCCACUUUUCUAUUCCUAUAGCAACUCUAUGAGAGACACUUAGGAAAAUUUGCUUUCAACAAAGCUCUGUGUGUGUGUGUGUGUGUGUGUGUGUGUGUGUGUGUGUGUGAGAGAGAGAGAGAGAGAGAGAGACAGAGACAGAGAAUGAGAGAGAGAAGGCCAAGAGACAGGAGAGACAGAGAUAAAGACAAGAAAAUAGCUUGUAAGCAACUCAAAUGUAGUAAGGGUGACAGCAUUUCCAUUCUGUUCAUAUACUCUGUGGGAGUUUUAGUCAUCAUUGAAUUAGCAGCAACUGUGACCUCAGAAUACCAUGAAAUACCCUCAUAACCUAAUGGAAAUAUUAGGGUAUAGAUAUGGGAAGGAGAGUAUUUCUCCUUUUUGUACAGCAGGUAUCUACUUUUAUUGCAUCCUUUUUACUUGACAUCAUUUUAAUCAGAAUGAGAAGAGAGGAAACAAAAUGGAAAUUGUUGAUUUCUCACCUUGAUUGAAAUUCUGAAAUACUUGGAAAGUAAGAAAUAAUAACACUAGUAAAAUAUUAUAAAAUGAUUUAGGAAUACCCAUGUAUAGUGUCUGAUGAUUACUGAUUAACCAAUUUGUGUGACAACUAAAAAAUAUAUACACAGUGGCCUUCAAACAGAAUACACUUUUAUCUAGCAUUAUUGAGAAAAGGUUGUUGUAGCUAAUGAAAAUUUGUAGUUAAGUUUCUCUCUAUAUUCUGCACAGACGAAUAAUUUUAUGUAAUUUACAAAAAUUAAAGUAGUCUUAGUAUUUAUGAGACACAAGUUAUUCAUUGAUUUUGGUGUUUUAAAAUUUAUUUAACUUUCUUUCAAUACUUCGAUGAAAUCAUUACAUACAUCAGAGGUCCUAAUAGAGUUGUCAAAAUUAAUAACCUUUCAACUGAUGGAAAGCCAGUUACUAAAUUGUGCUGUAAAUGAGUUCUAGUUCUAGCGGAUCUCAGAGAUGAGUAAGUGUUUUCUAUUACUUUUUUUAUUACAGUGAAGAAAGAACAACCUGAUAGUACCAUAAUGUUAAAAAUUUACAGAUCUUGAAUCACACACAAAUAAAGUAAAUAAGAACUUGUGUACACCUAUAGUGUUCUGUGUUUUCCAUGAAUGUCAUGAAAAUAUAUAUUUUAGUCAAUAUAAUGUACAUUAAUGUGUGUGCAUAGAAAACUAUACAUGUGUACACAUAUAUGUAUGUGUAUAUAUGUGUAUUUACAUGUGUAUAUAUGUCUACAUAAAGCUAUAGUUAUAGAUGAAACUAUGAUAUAUUAGCUUUCUAUUGUUCCAUAAUAAAUACAGCUUAAAACAACAUAUAUUGUUUAUCUUGCAGUUUUGUGGGUCAGGCAUCUAGGCAUGGCUUAACAGGGUCCUCUGUCAACCUGCAAUUAGGGUGGCAGCCUGGGCAGAUUCUCAUCUAUAGAUUCAACUAGGAAAAAGUCCAGUGUUCAGCUCACUCAGGUUGUUGGCAAGUGGCUGUAGACUGAGGGCUCCAAGUUCUUACUGGAUGUCUGCUGGAAAUGACCCUCAGUUCCUUUCCAUGUGGACUUCCCCAAUAUAGCCUCUUAUUUAUCAUGCCAGUAAGGAGAGUCUCCAGAGCAAGUCAGCUAGCAAAUGGGAGUUUUACAGAACAAAACAAAAUCCCAAGAGCAAUAUUCCAUCAAUUUUAUAUAUUGCGUGGGUUAAAAGGAAGUCUCAGGUUUCAGGCCCUGCUGUAUUAGUCAGAGUUCUCUAGAUAUACACACACACACACACAGUGGAAUCUAUUAAGUAUUAACUCACACGAUCACAAGAUUCCACAAUAGGCUCUCUGCAAGCUGAGAAGCAAGGAGAGCCAGUCCGAGUCCCAAAACUAAAGAACUUUGAGUCCAAUGUUCAAGGGCAGGAAGCAUCCAUCAUGGGAGAAAGAUGUAAGCUGGGAGACUAGGCCAGUCUAGUCUUUUCACAUUUUUCUGCCUACUUUAUAUUCUAGCCAAGCUGGCAGCUAAUUAGAUGGUGCCCACAUUAAGGGUGGGUCUGCCUUUCCCAGCCCAGUUACUCAAAUGUUAAUCUCCUUUGGCAACACCCUCACAGACACACCCAGGAUCAAUACUUUGCAUCCUUCAAUCCAGUCAAGUUCACACUCAAUAUUAACCGUCAUACCUGCCCACACUCAAGAAGAGGGGAUCACAGAAAGCCAUGAACACCACCAGGCAAAGAUCAUGGAAAUCUACCCUCAAGUCUGUCCGUAAGUACCAAUUUUGGCUCAGUAAACAUAGUCGCUGAUAACAUGGUGGCUCAAUUUUAUAUGUAAUUUAUAUCAAAGGUAGUCAAAUUAUGGCCCAUAGGCCAGCUACCUGUUUUUGUAAAUAAAGUUUUAUUUGCACACAACCACACCCAUGUGUGUAUUGUCUAUGGCUGCUUUUGGGUAGCAAGGGCAGAUUUGAGUAGUUGCAGCAGAGACUACCAUAUGACCCACAAAUGAUAUUAAUAAUACAUUUAUUAUCUAGCCAUUUAAGAGAAUUUGCCAAUCUCUAAAGAAUGGAUUUUAACAUAAAUUAAUUCCUUUAUCAAGUAGAUUGAUUGAUUAUAUUUUUUCCAAUAGUUUUUGACACAAUAGAUACAACCUAACUGAUAGGGAUGACUACUAAUGCCAAGCUUUGUGAAAUUGGAAAUACGAAAAUUUUCUGAUAAUAAUAUAGCACCAUCUCAUGGAAUAUCAUGGAAACUGUCAGAAAAGUUUAUUGCUGUACUACUAAAUUACUGAGCAUCAG